This 77-nucleotide transfer RNA is filed under the name Acidobacteriota bacterium. Its description in RNAcentral is "Acidobacteria bacterium (activated sludge metagenome) tRNA-Arg". It matches the Rfam family "tRNA". Rfam says of the family: Transfer RNA (tRNA) molecules are approximately 80 nucleotides in length. Their secondary structure includes four short double-helical elements and three loops (D, anti-codon, and T loops). RNAcentral also lists the same sequence under 2 other names. The record is from RNAcentral. Lineage: Bacteria; Pseudomonadati; Acidobacteriota.
GCACCCGUAGCUCAGUUGGAUAGAGCGGCAGCCUCCGAAGCUGUAGGUCGGACGUUCGAGUCGUCUCGGGUGCACCA